Molecule: ribosomal RNA, 513 nt
Filed under: uncultured fungus
Lineage: Eukaryota; Fungi
Description: eukaryotic LSU rRNA
Rfam family: 5.8S ribosomal RNA (bases 166-319)
Source: RNAcentral
UCCGUAGGUGAACCUGCGGAAGGAUCAUUACAGAGUUCAUGCCCUUACGGGUAGAUCUCCCACCCUUGAAUUAUACUACAUUGUUGCUUUGGCAGCCGUCACACGCUGCCAGAGGAUAAACCAAACUCUUUUUAAUAUGUCGUCUGGGCAUUAUAUAAUAGUUAAAACUUUCAACAACGGAUCUCUUGGUUCUGGCAUCGAUGAAGAACGCAGCGAAAUGCGAUAAGUAGUGUGAAUUGCAGAAUUCAGUGAAUCAUCGAAUCUUUGAACGCACAUUGCGCCCCUUGGUAUUCCGAGGGGCAUGCCUGUUCGAGCGUCAUUUGUACCUCAAGCUCUGCUUGGUGUUGGGUGUUUGUCCAGCCUCUGUGGCUAGACUCGCCUUGAAUACAUUGGCAGCUAGAGCGUCGGCUUUGGAGCGCAGCACAAUUUGCGUCCCUGGCUGAGGCUAUAGCACCCAUGAAGCUACCAUUUACUUUUGACCUCGGAUCAGGUAGGGAUACCCGCUGAACUUAA